CACCAGCGCCCGACCCCGAGCUCCUCCUCCCGUGCGCCUCCUCCCUGGCCUCCCUCGCGCGUCGUCCGGCGACCGGCGCCGCCGCCGCCGACCACCCAGGUCACGCCGCCGCUUCCAUGCCUUUUCUCUCUCUAAUCUUCUUGUAUCUCCUAUCCAGGAGCUCAGCGCCAGCGCCAUGGAUGUCCAGUCCUCGAGCUCUCCUCGGAGGUUCGAACGCCGCCAUGGGACCUCCACCAGCCAGAUCCGGCGCCUACCUCCCGGAUCCGCGCUCCCUCCACCUCCUCUACCCGAUUCGGCGCCGCCGAACCCGCCAAGACCUCCACCAUGGAGUUCCUAUAGCUCGUCCCCUGCCUCCUCGUCCUGUGCUCGAGGGAGACGCCCCUCCAGCGCAUCCAGGACAAGGCCCACCGCCAGCCGGUCGUUGUUGCACUCACCGGCGACCUCACCCUCCCCUCUGCACUGCCCUCCACCUCAACUAAUGCUUCUCAUCAACAGGGAUAGAUUUAGCUGGUCAUAGCUUGUGGAUGUUCUCUGUUAAUUUUUGCACACAAGGUGUUUGUGUGUUUGUCCAAGCCAAUGUUCAUGAGCUUUAUCUUUGCUAUAAAUGACAUGGCUGAGAAAGUCCCUUCAAUGAAAGGAGGGGGAGUAUAGUCUUGGCCAUGGCUGGGAAGGAAGGAGAACAUGUAAAUUGAGGAUUUUUCAGAGAGAUUAGGACUGCUUGAUUUAUCAGAGAGAAAACCUUGAUCAGGAGCUUCGUCGAUGCAGGCCUUCAUGCUGGACCGAGGAGGAGAAGAAGGGGGGCACAUCGAAGGUGCCGGUGGAGCGUGUCGUCGAGAUUGUUGAUGACAGCGACACGGGCGAGGCCGGGGAGGAGGUCAUGGUUGAUGCUUUACUGCCUGAAUAUGUUGACCGGGAACAAGAGGGUAAGGUGGAUGUGAGGGCGGAGGCGCAUGCCAUGGUGCAGGAUGUUGUGGAAGCCUGAUUAUUUGAGGAAGUGACAGCCACUGGGAGCAUGGAUCGACAGACUAGACAGCAGACCAAGUCCAUUGAUCGAUUGAUUCAACAACGAAGGAAGAGGCAGAAGGUUAUAAAAACGAGCUUGGGGAUUUACUGACCUGAAUCUUAAACAGGGCCGCCCUGCUGAUGGACUCAAGCUCCAGAUAGAUAUGCAAAGUCAUAGUCCUGCAUGUAUGGACAUCUACUGAUACAUACAAGCCGAUCGACGGGCACACACAUUAGUAAGUUCUGCUACUAGCCUAAUCAAGAGCCUUUUAUACAACCCCGCAAAAAAAAGCCUUUUAUACAGCCUUGCAGAUUAAAAAUGAAUUGAAUUAUGAGCAUCUGACAACUACGAUCAAUUUCCUGGUUAUACUUCCUGAAAUAAAGGUGGCCGACCAAAUGAAAGGAUGGAUGCUUUCCUUUAUGUGAGAUAAUGUACAUUAUCUUACUUGAUCUGCAAUGUUUCUUUGGUAAUUUUUUAUGAAAGACACAUGACACAUAGUUUGCUGGAUAGGUCUAAGAUAAAUAUUUCAGUUAUAGGAGGAUAUUUUUAAAUGGGUAAUACUAUUACCGCCAUCUGCUUGGCCUGUUGUGCUUUCGGUAGAGCUUUCAUAUUUCAACAAAAAAAAAACAAUGCAAGUUGGGACCAGAAUAGCACACACAUCCUCAAAGGAAACAUCAGUUGGGAGUGCUCAAGUAUUCAGUUUCUUGGAUGAUGUAUUAUGUUCUCGCUUAUCAUGUACUCCCUCUGUAAACAAAUAUAAGACCUUUUAUAUAGAUAACUAAAGUAGUGAUCUAACAUGUCCUAUAUUUGUUAGAGGGAGUAUGUUUCUAGAUAUCCGUCAACUCCAAUGUUUCAUUUAUCUGCUCUCUGAAUAUGAAGAAGAUAGGCUUGCAAAGUAGCUUUUUAUGUGAAUAAUGUGACAAACAUUUAUGUCUUAUAACUGCAAACAUUUUUUUGUUUAGUCCGUCACCGAGCAAAUGUUUGGGAGUUGGAAAUUAUUUGGAUACACAUGAUCUCAGCAAAGAAAGAUUCACACAUACUACAAUCAAAGGACCUCCUUCACUCUCUGUGCAACUACAGAAAUUAUCCUUAUGAGCAGCACCCUAGAUUUAGUUGUGGGUUCUAACAUAUUAGAGAUGUGGUUAGAAUACCUACUGCUCUGAACAAUUAAGUGGUUUGUAUAAACCACCGAUUCCCUCGUGCAGUGUACAAUGUGAUAUGGAUCAUCAUAGGAUCAAACUUAAUACAGGAUGUACACACUUAAUUGUUUCUGAACUAUACUACUUUUUAUGUUCAUUCUCCUGUCCUUUUAAAUCUCUAAUUUAGUUGCAAGUAUUUUAUUUGUUAUCGUUUGGCUUCUUAAGAACAAAUCUAGCAAGUUUGGCUUCUUCAGAACAAAUCUAGCAAGCAACGACUUGACUGAUGAAAGAGAUGUUGACCAUCUUUGCUGCAGUGAGGUACCUUCUUGAUCAUGUUACUAAUCUGUAUCUACAUUAUUCAGAUGUGAAACUCAUGCUUCUUAAAACAUCUGCAAGACAUAUGUGCACUCUGAAAUGGUAAAAUAUUUGCAUUCUAUAGUACUUCAAGUUUGUGUAGCAUCCCCAUAUUUCCCGUGACCCAGUUCCUUGAACUGGCUAACCCUUAUUGAUGUCAUAUGUCCUGAACUGACUCUCAUGACCAAGUUCCUCAACACGUCCGCCCCUCACAGGCAUGUUGUGCAGUGGCUCAAUUCAUCGCAUUGUGAUUGAACACAUUUGGACACAUUAGGAUUAGGUGAACACUGAACACUGCCAACAUCGGUGAGGGUGGUCAGGAAAAAAGCCAAAACCACUAGACGAAGGGGCGCUGGUCUCUGGUUCUUGGCGAAGGCCACCGCAGCUCAUCUCCAAGACCUCUGCUGUCGUGUGUCCCCCAAGUUCUUCACCGAAUCUCCUCGCCCACUGGCUGCUGCUCUUCUUCUCCCUCGAACACAUCUCUGCUUCUGAUCCUUUGCUGCCGCCCCUAACCUGCUGCUUUUGGUUUCUAAUGUUGCCCUCGACUGCUGUACCUCUCCUUCUCCAACGAACUGUUGUUCCUAAUCUUCUCUGAACCCAAACUGUUGCUGCUCCGCUUCCUCUCUGAACCUCAGUCUGCUGCUGCUUCUCUGAUUCAGAGUAAACCAAUAAGCAGGAAUUUUAUGGACUUCUAGGUCGUUUUUCCUUUGGUAACAGUUAUUGUUAGUUCUAAACAAUUUUUCAGUGCCACGAUUAGGCUUCCAAGGGUACAGACAAUGAUGAAGAAGCCUUUUAUAUCACACACUAUAUAACAUCAUGGAAUCACAACCUUAUAACAACUAAUUUAAGAGGCUAUGUUCUGGUUUGCUGUAUCUCCACCAGUUUGGGUUGGUCUGAUGGCUAACCUAAACUGAAUAGGGUAUCAGGAGUACUUUAGUUGGUAUUGAAAGUGGUAUGUUUACUUUCAAGCUGAAAAUCUUGCAAGUUUGGUCCUGGGAUAUUUAAUGCUCCCUUUUCUUAUUAUCUUCCAAUCAUACUAUACAUAUUUAGUUUUUUUACUUUCUCUUGACAAGUGAACUGAAUUAUUCAUGGAGAAUUUGGUUAUGGUAAAUUUUAUUAUGGAGAUUCAUCCGAUGUAAUAGAAUAGCUUUAUUUGCUAAAAUCAAUACAUAACUAUAGUGUUGUAUGGUUACAACAUGUAGAGUUUUGCAAGUGAGAGUUACUGGAAGUCACUAUUGCAAGAUGGCAUUCAGUUAACACACGUACAAUCGACUGAUCACUGUAUCUUUUUUUGCUAAUUUAAUUUGAAAAAGCUAUUGCAAACAAUUUUUUCUUCUGAAAUCAUAUACUCUGUUUAUUUCUAAUGUGAUUUUGUUACUGUUUGUAUGGCAUUUCUCUGUCUAAAUUUUUUGUUACAUAAAUCAAUCUGCAUAUAUGUGUGCAGGCUGUGAAUCGACAAACAGCCCAGAAAAUAUGGCAUGCUACAUACCCUGUGACAGUACAUUAUCAGAAAUACUUAUAUUUUUGAUAAACGCAUCUCUCAUCCAUCAUGACAUAGAUGUGAUGCGUUGCAAGUGUUCUUUUUCGUUCCCUCGCGAUGCGUCGAGUACAUGAUGGAUGGUCUAAUCGUUCAGUGUGUCAUGUGUACUCAGUCACUUGUGUCAUCUUCAGAUUUUAGAAGUCAAAAUUCUAGCUUUAGCUCUAUAUUUAAGAAUUUUUCUACGGAAAAUGCAAGAAAAAUAAAGCGUCCUUCUGCUCUCAUUCUGAGGAAGUUCUGAAAAAUUGAGGCAUUUGUAUGAAUUUCUAUUCUUCAUUAUAAAUUAUCCUUUCAAGUUUAGAAAAUAAAACAUGAUAUACUCUGUAUGUCUCUGUUCUACACUACCACUACCAUUUUAUUGCUGCAAAACGCCAAUGAAAAAGUCAUUACUAUUUUCCACAUUUUUAUACAAUCAAGCUGAAAGAGCAAUAAAAUGAUUUGUUUUUGACAUCGCCUCAGAUCUUACCGAAAGGCAAUGUGCUUAUAAUGUACAUCUAGAUAACAAUAAUGUGUUUGGGAAUGAUUCAUUUGUCGACGGCCAGCAUGUGGGGUGUGAGGGACGAUACUUAUAUCACUUAGUGGCCAAGGGAAUGACAUCACAAAAGUUUAUCUAAAAUCCUAGGAGAAGAUGGACACAUGUUCCUAUAUUGCUUCUCUACAAUUGCUUUCACCAUUUGAUCAUCCAUGUAAUUUAUAGCAUCCAUGCAUAGCUUAUCCUUAUGCUGUUUGUAUUCACUUAUUCCUUUUGUUGACAUGGCUAGGAGGCUACUAUGAAUGUCACAUAGAUUGUAAUUUAACCUCCUUACAAAUAAUUAACGUUCAAACAUUCCAGUGGAGGAAUCUCAAGACUUAGGAAUGGUGCCCCGACAAUUGUGAGCGGCACAAAGGAAGGGCCGCCAUCACCAAGGAAGUACGUUCACAAUUGUGGACUCCAAAGAGGAAUAAGCUCUAUAUUUAGUGCAUUGAGUUGCUAUUUUAAAUUCUGAGAGGUGUUCAAUUUUGUCGAUUUCUAAGACAUUGACUCGGAAGAAUUAUUAUUUUGCUUGAUGUAAACUCGGAUUAAUUUGUCAUGUCAUUUGAACUGAACAACCUUUUUGUGACAUCACUUCAUGAUUUUUUGUGGGAUAUCUUUUUUUACAGGUAGAUUUUUGUGUGA
Molecule: long non-coding RNA, 5189 nt
Organism: Triticum dicoccoides
Lineage: Eukaryota; Viridiplantae; Streptophyta; Magnoliopsida; Poales; Poaceae
Exons: 3
Source: RefSeq, a predicted model, not a curated record